Molecule: ribosomal RNA, 460 nt
Filed under: uncultured bacterium
Lineage: Bacteria
Description: partial 16S ribosomal RNA
Rfam family: Bacterial small subunit ribosomal RNA
Source: RNAcentral
CCUACGGGAGGCAGCAGUGAGGAAUAUUGGACAAUGGACGGAAGUCUGAACCAGCCAUGCCGCGUGCAGGAAGACGGCCCUCUGAGUUGUAAACUGCUUUUGUACAAAGGUAAAUCUGAAUACGUGUAUUCAGAUGAAUGUACUGUACGAAUAAGGAAAGGCUAACUCCGGGCCAGCAGCGCCGGUAAUACGUAGGAUCCAAGCGUUAUGCGGAUUUAUUGGGUUUAAAGGGUGCGUAGGCGGAUUGAUAAGUUAGAGGUGAAAUGGCCGAGCUUAACUCGGGAACUGCCUCUAAUUCUGUGGAGCUAGAGAGUAGAUGCGGUAGGCGGAAUGUAUGGUGUAGCGGUGAAAUGCUUAGAGAUCAGACAGAACACCGAUUGCGAAGGCAGCUUACCAAUCUAUAUCUGACGUUGAGGCACGAAAGCGUGGGGAGCAAACAGGAUUAGAUACCCGUGUAGUC